This 800-nucleotide ribosomal RNA is filed under the name uncultured bacterium. RNAcentral's name for it is "bacterial SSU rRNA". It matches the Rfam family "Bacterial small subunit ribosomal RNA", at positions 8 to 796 of the family's 1533-position model. The record is from RNAcentral.
AGAGUUUGAUCCUGGCUCAGGACGAACGCUGACGGUGUGCUUUAGGCAUGCAAGUCGAACGAGAAACCCUUCGGGGUGAGUAAAGUGGCGAACGGGUGAGUAACACGUGGGCAACCUGCCCCUCGCAGGGGGACAACCGGAGGAAACUCCGGCUAAUACCCCGUACGCUUGUUGGAUCGCAUGGUCCGGCAAGGAAAGGUAGCUUCGGCCAUCCGGCGAGGGAUGGGCCCGCGUUGCAUUAGCUAGUUGGUGGGGUAACAGCCUACCAAGGCGACGAUGCGUAGCUGGUCUGAGAGGAUGAUCAGCCACACUGGGACUGAGACACGGCCCAGACUCCUACGGGAGGCAGCAGCCAGGAAUCUUGGGCAAUGGGCGAAAGCCUGACCCAGCAACACCGUGUGGGCGAUGAAGGCCUUAGGGUCGUAAAGCCCUGUUGAUAGGGACGAAGGGCGAAGGGUUAAUAGCCCCUAGCUUGACGGUACCUUUCGAGGAAGCCCCGGCUAACUACGUGCCAGCAGCCGCGGUAAUACGUAGGGGGCGAGCGUUGUCCGGAAUUAUUGGGCGUAAAGAGCGUGUAGGCGGUUCGGUAAGUCUGCUGUGAAAUCCUGGGGCUCAACCCUGGGCGUGCAGCGGAUACUGCCGGGCUAGAGGGUGGUAGAGGCGAGUGGAAUUCCGAGUGUAGCGGUGAAAUGCGCAGAUAUUCGGAGGAACACCAGUAGCGAAGGCGGCUCGCUGGGCCACACCUGACGCUGAGNNNCGAAAGCGUGGGGAGCGAACAGGAUUAGAUACCCUAGUAGUCC